This 226-nucleotide long non-coding RNA is filed under the name Fukomys damarensis (Damara mole-rat). RNAcentral's name for it is "lncRNA (ENSFDAG00000024373.1)". The record is from RNAcentral. Lineage: Eukaryota; Metazoa; Chordata; Mammalia; Rodentia; Bathyergidae.
CCCCACCCCACCCCCGUAAUGAUCCAGUCUGUGAGGCUCUUGGGGAACAUCUAGAUAUAAAUGGCAGCAGCUCUACAGUCAGGAACAAGCAUCUUUACGUAGGCCCAACGUUUGCGUAUUUAUUUUUCCACCAGAAGAAAGUUACUCAGACUAUUAUCUACUAAGCUGAAAAGGACUCUGACUUCUUUUCCAGAAGCCCGCUUAAGUGGAUCACCAAAUCUCUCUC